UGGCGACCGGCGCACGGGUGAGUAACGCGUAUGCAACUUACCUAUCAGAGGGGGAUAGCCCGGCGAAAGUCGGAUUAAUACCCCAUGAAACAGGGGUCCCGCAUGGGGAUAUUUGUUAAAGAUUCAUCGCUGAUAGAUAGGCAUGCGUUCCAUUAGGCAGUUGGCGGGGUAACGGCCCACCAAACCGACGAUGGAUAGGGGUUCUGAGAGGAAGGUCCCCCACAUUGGUACUGAGACACGGACCAA
Molecule: ribosomal RNA, 246 nt
Filed under: uncultured bacterium
Lineage: Bacteria
Description: partial 16S ribosomal RNA
Rfam family: Bacterial small subunit ribosomal RNA
Source: RNAcentral